GACGAACGCUGGCGGCGUGCCUAAUACAUGCAAGUAGAACGCUGAAGGAGGAGCUUGCUCUUCUGGAUGAGUUGCGAACGGGUGAGUAACGCGUAGGUAACCUGCCUGGUAGCGGGGGAUAACUAUUGGAAACGAUAGCUAAUACCGCAUAACAGUAGAUGUUGCAUGACAUUUACUUAAAAGGUGCAAUUGCAUCACUACCAGAUGGACCUGCGUUGUAUUAGCUAGUUGGUGGGGUAACGGCUCACCAAGGCGACGAUACAUAGCCGACCUGAGAGGGUGAUCGGCCAAACUGGGACUGAGACACGGCCCAGAAUCCUACGGGAGGCAGCAGUAGGGAAUCUUCGGCAAUGGACGGAAGUCUGACCGAGCAACGCCGCGUGAGUGAAGAAGGUUUUCGGAUCGUAAAGCUCUGUUGUAAGAGAAGAACGAGUGUGAGAGUGGAAAGUUCACACUGUGACGGUAGCUUACCAGAAAGGGACGGCUAACUACGUG
Molecule: ribosomal RNA, 495 nt
Filed under: uncultured bacterium
Lineage: Bacteria
Description: partial 16S ribosomal RNA
Rfam family: Bacterial small subunit ribosomal RNA
Source: RNAcentral